GGUUCCGUAGCUCAGUUGGAUAGAGCAACAGAUUUCUAAUCUGUGGGUCGUGAGUUCGAGUCUCACCGGAAUCAC
RNAcentral lists this transfer RNA (75 nucleotides) under Bacteroidia bacterium. RNAcentral's name for it is "tRNA-Arg". It matches the Rfam family "tRNA". From Rfam's summary of the family: Transfer RNA (tRNA) molecules are approximately 80 nucleotides in length. Their secondary structure includes four short double-helical elements and three loops (D, anti-codon, and T loops). Further hydrogen bonds mediate the characteristic L-shaped molecular structure. tRNAs have two regions of fundamental functional importance: the anti-codon, which is responsible for specific mRNA codon recognition, and the 3' end, to which the tRNAs corresponding amino acid is attached (by aminoacyl-tRNA synthetases). tRNAs cope with the degeneracy of the genetic code in two manners: having more than one tRNA (with a specific anti-codon) for a particular amino acid; and 'wobble' base-pairing, i.e. permitting non-standard base-pairing at the 3rd anti-codon position. Lineage: Bacteria; Pseudomonadati; Bacteroidota; Bacteroidia. The record is from RNAcentral.